Molecule: ribosomal RNA, 396 nt
Filed under: uncultured bacterium
Lineage: Bacteria
Description: partial 16S ribosomal RNA
Rfam family: Bacterial small subunit ribosomal RNA
Source: RNAcentral
AUACGUAGGGGGCGAGCGUUGUCCGGAAUGAUUGGGCGUAAAGGGCGCGUAGGCGGCCCGGUAAGUCUGGAGUGAAGGUCCUGUUUUUAAGAUGGGAAUUGCUUUGGAUACUGUCGGGCUUGGGUGCAGGAGAGGUAAGUGGAAUUCCCAGUGUAGCGGUGAAAUGCGUAGAGAUUGGGAGGAACACCAGUGGCGAAGGCGACUUACUGGACUGUAACUGACGCUGAGGCGCGAAAGUGUGGGGAGCAAACAGGAUUAGAUACCCUGGUAGUCCACACUGUAAACGAUGAAUGCUAGGUGUAGGGGGUAUCGACCCCUUCUGUGCCGCAGUCAACACAAUAAGCAUUCCGCCUGGGGAGUACGGCCGCAAGGUUGAAACUCAAAGGAAUUGACGGG